UACAGAGGUCUCAAGCGUUGUUCGGAUUCAUUGGGCGUAAAGGGUGCGUAGGUGGCGCGGUAAGUCGGGUGUGAAAUUUCGGAGCUUAACUCCGAAACUGCAUUCGAUACUGCGGUGCUUGAGGACUGGAGAGGAGACUGGAAUUUACGGUGUAGCAGUGAAAUGCGUAGAGAUCGUAAGGAAGACCAGUGGCGAAGGCGGGUCUCGUGGACAGUUCCUGACACUGAGGCACGAAGGCCAGGGGAGCAAACGGG
This 254-nucleotide ribosomal RNA is filed under the name uncultured bacterium. Its description in RNAcentral is "partial 16S ribosomal RNA". It matches the Rfam family "Bacterial small subunit ribosomal RNA", at positions 524 to 776 of the family's 1533-position model. The record is from RNAcentral.